UACGGAGGGUGCAAGCGUUAUCCGGAUUCACUGGGUUUAAAGGGUGCGUAGGCGGAUAGGUAAGUCCGUGGUGAAAUCCUGCAGCUUAACUGCAGAACUGCCAUGGAUACUAUCUAUCUUGAAUGUCGUGGAGGUUAGCGGAAUAUGUCAUGUAGCGGUGAAAUGCUUAGAUAUCGUCAAGAACACCUAUAGCGAAGGCAGCUUACUAGGCUGUAACUGACGCUGAGGCACGAAAGUGUGGGGAUCAAACAGG
RNAcentral lists this ribosomal RNA (253 nucleotides) under uncultured bacterium. Its description in RNAcentral is "partial 16S ribosomal RNA". It matches the Rfam family "Bacterial small subunit ribosomal RNA", at positions 524 to 776 of the family's 1533-position model. The record is from RNAcentral.